This is a long non-coding RNA of Venturia canescens, 393 nucleotides long. RefSeq lists it as uncharacterized. The transcript is spliced from 4 exons. The record is from RefSeq and is a predicted model, not a curated record. Lineage: Eukaryota; Metazoa; Arthropoda; Insecta; Hymenoptera; Ichneumonidae.
UCGAAAUCCCGAAAACGAUCACCGUCAUGAGCUUGAGGACGACAAUGACGACGACGACGAUGCGUGGAAUAAAACACGAUCCAGAAAAAAACUGACGUACCUAAGAUUUUCGCGUGAGAGGGGCGGCCCGUUCAGCAUCAGUGAACAAGAGAUAAUGAUAAGAUAUUUGCUCAAGAAAGGCAAAGUCGGCAAAGCGAAGGGAUUAGUUGUAUGGCGCCAGAUGAUCGAUGACGGGAAAACGACAGUUCGGACGAAGCGGAACAAGGGCGUGAAAACCUAGCAGGUGAAGCAAAUAUUCAAAUUCCACCAGUUGUACCCGAACGGCCCUGAGGUGUUCAGCACAAUCAGCCGCCGAUGAUUCCUGAGCAAACGGCAGGUAAUGGUGAUCAUUAU